AUGAGGGGCGUGCUUGGUCUCCUCUGUGUGAGCUUCGUUAGCCACUAGCCAGCCAGUUCCCGCGGUAAGGUCCAUCCAUCGUUUUCCUCCUCAUCGCCUCGCCUCACUGAGGUCGGCCUAGGCGGACUCCGCCGAAAUCAAACUCGAGCGAGCGCGCUGAUGGACAGCGAACUCCAAAAAAUGGAGCCGGUGGACAGCGAACAGGACGAGGAGGAGAACGUGUACGAAGUAGAGCGAAUCAUUGAUAUGCGUGUGGAGGAGGGUGAGGUGCUGUACCGGGUGCGCUGGAAAGGUUACUGCUCUGAUGACGACACCUGGGAGCCGGAGGGCCACCUGGAGGACUGUCGAGAGGUCCUGCUGGCAUACAAGAAGGCCACCAUAGAAAUCAAGAAGGAACCCGAGGACAGGAAGCCAAUACUACCUCUGCCAAUCAAGAGCGACGUGUUCGAUGCCGACUCUGAGAGUGACAGCGACAAGGACCAGCCCGCUAACGAUACGGCCGUCAUCAAGAAGAAAAAGAAGAAGAAGAAGUUUCGAGAGCUGGAGGACGAGGAGGAAGAAACUCCUCGCAAGGAGAAGAAGAAGAAGAAAAAGAAGGACAAGUGGCGAGAUGAGGUCAAGCCUUUGCCCGCUCCAGAGACGGACGAGGACGAUGAGGAGAAGACGGCUGAGACGAAGAAACAUGUGAUUAAGUCGGAGAAUGAAGAUGAGGCGCCACCUAAGAAGCCCAAGAAGGAGAUGACCAAAGAUGGCAAGCUCAGGAAGGACAGAGGCGGCGAAGAACCCAAGAAGAAGAAAACCAGGAGGGAGUACAGCAUAGCUUCAUCGGACGAGGACCUCAGCGAAGGCCUGUCGGACUCGUCGGCAAAGAAGGAGAAGCCUCAACUGGACGAGCACCGUUCCAAGCCCAAACAGAAGCUCGACGGCAAGCUUAAAGGCACGAAAGACCCGAUGCAGGACAAGAAGAGCAAGCUGAAGGAGAGCAGCCUGCUCAAGCUCAAGUCGCUGACUGCCUCCAAGAUCCGCGAGGACGCAGGGCCGCCCUCGUCAGACUCCAGCGAUAGCUCGAGUUUGCACCGCAAGGGCAAGAGCAAAAGCCAGGAGGCCAAGGCCGCCGCCAAGCCCCGAGAGGACGAGGCAGCAAGAGAGGACGGCAAAGGCUCCACCAACCUCUUUGAGACCUUCCUGCAAAGUUGUGCGGCCAAGGACCGAGCCCCCCGCAGGCUGCCAGCGGACAAGAGUGCCAGCAAGCCCUCCAAGGUCCUUGGGAAGAUUGAGAAGAUCAAGCCUGUCAAAGAAUCUCCGACACUGAAAGAACCCGAAAGGAUGGAAAAGUCCAAGCAGCCCGAAGCCGUCCCCAGACCGGGCCAGGGGUACGGCUUCAGCCUGGACAGCGACGAGCUGGAAGGAGAGAACGCGUCGAGCAAGCCGAGAACCGGAGACUAUUCCCGUGAGCGCCGGGAGAAGCCAGAGGAGAGCCAGACCAGGCCCGGCUGGGAACCGAAGGGACCGCCAGAAGACAGGAAGAAGAAGAGGGAGGACGGCGAGCCCCGACCCCUCGCGGCGUCUGAUGACCAUGCGGACCAGCAACCAACGGAGCCCACUGACAAAUCCGACAAAGCUCCGGCCACGUUGAGUUUGGGAAUGGAUCUCAACCUGGACUGGAUGACCCUGGACGACUUCCAGAAACAUCUGAACGGAGAUGACGAGAUCCUGUCGGGCCCUCCGUUAUCACCCAGUGAGCUGCGAGAUGCCGUGAAAAGCGGAGAUUACGUGGCGGUGAAAUUGGCGCUCAAUUCCAAAGAGGAGUACAACUUGGAUCAGGAGGCUUGUACUACAGUGGUUGCGAAGAGGUCAUUUGACGAGAGGAGUCCAAGGGAUGGGAUUUUUAUGUCUCACUUUUUAAAUGGACCACAAGAGAACAGGACUGCCAGCGUGAAUGAAAACCUCCAGAAAGGUGCGCUGGAAUCAGAGCGCAGUUCGGGUCAAGGAACAGAAACUCUUUUUGUGUCAACCUUUUUAAAUGGACCACAAGAGGACAGGACUGCCAGCGGGAAUGAAAACCUCCAGAAAGAUGUGCCGGAAUCUGAGGGCAGUUCGGGUCAAGGACCAGAAACUCUUGAGCCCGAGGGCCCAAAAGAUGACAAUUCGGACCGAACGGCAGACGGAAGGGACUGCGACCGAGCGGGAGAAACUGUCGAACCUGACAGGAGUGAGGAAACAACCAAUUUAGUCUCAAUUUCAUCCAAGGAGACGAUAACAGACGACGGCAGAGUGCCAAAAUCCUGCCGGAGGAAAACCAUCGAAGCUAAACAGCCGAUCCGUUCCAGUCAACGGAUGUGCAGGAAGGUUGUUCAUCCGGAAUCCAGCACCGAUGAAGAAGAGGAUAAGGAACCAUGUAAAAAGCACUUUUGUUUCUACUGCCAAAUGCCUUUCAGCCAAUUGGAGAAGCACUUGGAGAAGAAACACGGCAAGGAAACAGACGUGUCCCAUGCCAUUCACUUCCCAAAAGGCUCCAAAGUCAGACAGACCUUGCUGGAUCAAAUCCGCGACAACGGCAAUUACGAGCAACGUGCCAAAGCUCUCCGAAAAGGAGGAGACAAGGAAGUUGUCACACAGACAGAGGUGAAGACCACUAAAAUAUGUGUCCGAGACUUUCUCCCUUGCCAGCACUGCUUCACCUUUUACCGCAAGACCGACCUGUGGCGUCACGAGCGCUCUUGCCAAGCCAGGAAGGGUGAUGACAAAUCUUCCGAAAUUCCCAACGUGAAGACUGCAGAGCAGAGCCCUGCCUCGCUCCUACUGCCUAGGUCAGAAUUCUUGACAGACGGCUGCAGGGAGAUCAUCCACACCAUGCACCAGGACGACAUCGCCCGGCACAUUGUCCAUGACCCACUCAUUUGCAAAUUUGGCAGCACCUUAUUAGCGAAGUAUGGCCACGACAAGUCUCAGUUUGCCUACAUUGGACAGAAGAUGCGACAGCUGGGCCGGUUCAUGAUCGCCAUCAAAGAGCUGGAUGGCAGCGUGCGCUACCUGCAUCAACUGUGCCUCCCAUCCAGGUUCGAAUUGGCAGUGGAGGGCGCCAAAAAAGCCAGCGGCUUUGAUCCCAGUUGCAGCCGGUUCAAAACCUUUUCCCUGGUGUCCAAAAUUGGCUACUCCUUGAAACGGGCUGCCGAGAUAGCCUUCGGCGAGAGUCGCAUGACCGAAGACAGGCUGACGGAGGGCGAGGUGAGGGCCUUCAUACAGUUACUAGAUACGAAAUGGAGCGAACGCUUUUCUCGUAGGUCCUUAGCGCCCUCAACCUCCAAAACAGAGGUCCAGAGGGCAGAGGUAGACGCGGCCGGCGUGACGGAGGACCUGAUUAAACUCCACCGGUUCAUCGCCGAUGAGGGUGAUGAAGCCAGACGGGAGCUGAGGCACAAUCCCAGCGUGGCAAACUGGAAGAAGCUAAGCGAAGCCACGCUAGCCGAUGUUUGCCUUUUCAACCGGACGCGUGUUGGUAACAUCGGUCGGCUUCUUUUGCAAACAUACGCCAGCAAAAAGCUCUGGGGUGCUUUUGUGCCCUCGGCUGAUCAAAUCAAGAAAUGCAACAAACUGGAACUUGAGGUCUGCGGGCACUUCACUCGUGUGGAACUGGAAGGCCAGUUUGGCAGGAACAUGCUUGUCCUGCUCACCGAAAAGAUGACUUUGUCACUGGAUCUGCUGGUGGAAAAUCGCCAAGAUGCUGGGGUGUCCAGAAGCAACCCGUACCUCUUUGCCCGAACUGAAGGGCACUCCUUCAUCCGAGGGCUGGACUGCUUCCGUAGGGCGGCGGUGGAAUGCGGCGUGAGGAACCCCGAAGCACUCUUGUCACCAGUGCUCAGGGAGCAAAUCGCCUGCUGCUGGCAACUCAUGAGCCUCCGCCAGGGCGAGUUGGACCGAGUGGCCGGGCUGCUCGGAAAGAGCAGCCAGGAGUGCUUCGCCUUGUCCACAAAUGCAUCGUUAUUGGAGGAGGCCAGUAAACACUUGCUCCAGUUGGACCGCACGCGACGGCCGAUUCCAGCCAACAUGGUCAGCAACGGAAUGCCACCCAAAGCCGUCCCGAAGAGGCGACCGUGGAGCGAAUGUGAGCAGGCCGCCGUCAAACAUCGCAUGAGUGAUUUUAUAACAAGGAUGAAGGUUCCCGGCAAGAAGGACUGUAACGCCUGCAUCGCCGCUGAACCCGAUCUGGCUGGCAGAUCUUGGACCGAUGUGAAAAACUACGUGCACAACAGCAUCCAGACCAUGCGUCGGCGUAGUAAGCAGCACAAGGAGGCGGGGAAAGGCAGAGCUGCAAAGCCAAAGAAACUGAUCGAGGAAGUCCAAAGGAGACAUUUGGAUGACGCGUCGGCGGGUUGUAGCUUGUCAUCGGGGCUUCCGGACCACCUGAGAGAGAGUUCAAAUUGUUGCAUGGCGCCACCGCCGCAGGUGCCGCCGAAUCCAUACACCCCAGAGAUGUCUUUAAGCUACAUGUCCUUGUGUUCUCCAAAUGCAAAUCUGAUCCACGCCAGUCAGCCGCUGAUGUCCACACUCACGCCACUGAACGCCACAGACACUCAAGUGGUGCCCACGUUCACACCGCUCAGCACCACCAGUGCACUCAUGUCACCCGUAUACGCUUCGGAAACCAAUAGUAUCCAUCCAAUGGCUCCUCCUUAUUCGCCAAAUACCUCAAAUAUGCCUGCCCCGGUCUACGCUGACCCUUUAAACCCCCCGAUGCUUCCCAGUUUCGAUGUUCCCAGCACCUCCAUGCUCCCCACAUUCACAACGCUAAACUCCCCAAGUUCGCCCAUGGUCCCGGCCUUCUCUUCUGCCUUCUCCUCGGCCUUUAGUGACCGAAGCGAGAUGAUGGUGUCCUCCUUCACAGCCCUAAAUCCCUCCACUGUGCCUUCCUACCCGACCAGUCAGCCGAGGACUUCCAUGAGUGCGCAGGUGGUCCCGACGGUCCACGGAGGCGGCAUUCCCGACGAGGCUGCGCCAACAUCCUCAGUUCAACAAAAGUCUUCGCACAAACAAACGCCGUCUACAACGAAACCCCAGAAGAGGCACAAAAGGUUGUGGAGCACCGAGGAACAGGCAGCCGUCCGGCGGCAGUUUGGAGACUUGUGCAAACUGGCUAAAGUGCCGGGAAAAAAGGACUGCGAUGCGUGCUUGGCAGCUGAGCCGGCUUUGAAUAGCCGUACAUGGAGGGAAGUCAAGUAUUUUGUCCACAACAACAUUCAGUCCAUGAAGAGACGAGGUCUAAUGGCAGCUCUGCCAAAACUGACUGAAGAACGCAAACAGGAACUAGAGACCCCGGCGUCCAACGCGGAGUGCGAUGGUCCAGUGUACCUGUCGCUGUAACUAACGCGACCUGACAUGUUGGGAUAUGUUGCGGCAUGAGUUUAGUAACUGGAUACAAACGUUCAGGUUUAGCGGUCCACACACUACGGUUCAGGUCAGGUGCGUAAGUAGCAUGCCAUAGCUGCAGCCGCUAUGUAAUUAAUAGGGGUGUAAUGGUACGUUGAAAAAGCUUGGUUUGGGGACAAAACUUGGUUUUAAGUUGAUUGAGAUGAGGGAUGAGCUGCUGUGCAAUGGGAAAUUGUCUAGCCAUCUCUCCUUUUUCUUUACUGCUUAUCCUUUUCAGUUAUAAGUGAGCUGGAUCACCGGCCAACCUUGUACAUAAGGGAUGUAUUCUCUCUCGAACAAUUGAAGUCAAUAUUAGUCACGAUUACAGGAAAGGCUUAUAUGAAACGACACUGGGCCAUAGAUGUCAAACAACAUACACACUAAAUGUGUAAGAUUGUCAUUAUUUUCCAUAUGUUGAAUGCAUUCAUUUCAAAACCCAAUGAUUUGGAUUUCAUCACACCAAUUUCAACCAUCAGUCGAUGUCCCCAUAUCUGCACUUAAUUCACUGUCCCAAUGUUGUUGGCCCAAGUAUAAGUAGCACAGUGUUGCCAUAUUCAUUUUAAUGAUCUAUUUAUAAUUAUUUUUAACCUUGUACAGCAACGGUGUAGAACGAAUGUAGUGCUGUUGAGAGAAUGUUGUUUGAGUGAAACAAUACAACAGUGGUUGUAACAUUUGAUUUCCAAAAAUUUCCAGCCAAACCUCACCAUAUUUUUUUUUCCCCCGGGUUCCCCUCGAGUGGUUCCUUGAUGUGGUUUCUCAAGUAUGAACACUAUCUCAUCUUUUUGGAAUCGAGUCCCAUCGAUUAAUCGAGUACUUAGAUCAAAGUUGAUUUUUGCAUUCACUUGCAUUGAAAGCGCACCGGCCGGCGCUUGUCCUCCAUCACUUGCGGUGGCUUGGCAAGAUCUUCGAACGUGUAAUUGUCCGCUCUGUCAAAUUAGCUAACAUAGAUACGUUUCUUUGUGUGGCCGGUUGUAGAUGUGCUGUGGUGGUACACAUUUCACUUGACCUUCCUUUGCAAGUCUGACAUGAUCCCAAAAUUUGGACACUUUCUGUCUUUUGCACUUUCCUACUCACGACGAUCGCACAACUUAUUUCUACUUGGAGUGGUCCGCGCGACCGCAGUGGUGUCAUUACGUUUGGAAAAUUGAACCAUGUGAAGGUUGGCGGCGGACAUUUUGCCCCCACCUUUGUUUGUACAUAUUCGGUUUGUCAAUGUAGCCCUUGGAUCUCAUCCAAACUUGAGUCCGGCAUGUCUUUCCCAGAUCUGGCUUUGACCCUCCGAUAUUUGGCUGCAUCCAGCACACAACCAAACCUCACAAAAAUUACAAUACAGUGGAUACAUUUGUCCUCUAGGAAUGAAAACCUUCCCGAUCUCCAUUUGUUCAUCCACAACAAGUGUGUUACAGAUCUCUUCCAUUAUAUCCUGAUGUAGUUUUUACUGUAUUUAGCGUGGGGAAAAUCACUUAAAAGCCUCCAAUAUUGCCGAGCCAAUUUCAAUAUGUUCUUCCAACGUUGAUGGUAAUACCCAGCAAAAAGCGAGUACUUUUUUUCAAUGUUUGUAUAUGUUGGCCCCAGUUUAGGCCUUGGAUGAUGUCUCGUGAGGAACUUAGAACCUGUGCUUGUACAAUAAAACGUUUCUUGUCUUGACAGUCCCCCGA
This is an RNA transcript of Hippocampus comes (tiger tail seahorse), 7064 nucleotides long. It is a transcript of the gene named M-phase phosphoprotein 8, with no coding region annotated. Lineage: Eukaryota; Metazoa; Chordata; Actinopteri; Syngnathiformes; Syngnathidae. The record is from RefSeq and is a predicted model, not a curated record. The transcript has 10 exons.